This 196-nucleotide non-coding RNA is filed under the name uncultured Eubacterium sp. RNAcentral describes it as "Lysine riboswitch". The stretch from base 1 to 166 matches the Rfam family "Lysine riboswitch aptamer". From Rfam's summary of the family: Riboswitches are metabolite binding domains within certain messenger RNAs that serve as precision sensors for their corresponding targets. The record is from RNAcentral. Lineage: Bacteria; Bacillati; Bacillota; Clostridia; Eubacteriales; Eubacteriaceae.
UAUGUAGAGGCGCGGUGAUUAUCAGUAGCAUAUAUGAUGAUGCUGGAUCAUUUGAGGAUAUGUGAAAGGAUGAACCGCCGAAGUUCCGGGAAGUCAGCAUUUCCGGUGCUGGGUCUGCAGAGAAUAUCUGCAGGACUGUCACUGUUGGUGAUGAGCUACCAGAGGUAGCAGGAUCACAAAUGUGGAGAGCUACGGU